UACAUUAAAUACAAUGGUGGCCUUGAGACAGAGGAAGCAUAUCCCUACACUGGACAAAAUGGUCUCUGCAAAUUUACAUCUGAAAACGUUGCCGUUCAAGUCCUUGGCUCUGUCAAUAUCACCCUGGUAAUCAUAUGUUUGCUUGUUAAUUUACCGCAUGAUGUAUUUGUUAACUAACUGUACUCUAGCUAACGAUGGCUAAGUUAAUUUCUUGAGUUGGUUAAGCUGUUGCUGAGUUUAUAUUACUGUUAGUUGGUUGAAAGUGAUUCCAGAAAGAGCACAAUGCUCAUUUACAGAUUCUUUCUGUUUUCUCUAUUCACAUUAUGUGCUCGUAUGGAUAUUGUAAUGUCUCCUUGUAGUUUCUCUGAGAGACAUGGCAGAAUCAAAUCACUCAAACCUCGACUUCAUCAAUAUAAGAUUUUCUAAUUUUGUUUUUAAUUUUGUUUUGGGUAAUAGGGUGCUGAGGAUGAAUUGAAACAUGCAGUUGCUUUUGCUCGGCCCGUUAGUGUGGCAUUUCAGGUGGUUGAUGACUUCAGGUUAUACAAGAAAGGAGUUUACACUAGUACAACUUGUGGCAGCACACCCAUGGUGAGUGUUCUGCAAUAGCAAGAUAUUGCCUGAUCCUCCUCAAUCUAGUGUUUUAAUUCUUCAAUUUUUAGAACAAAAUGCUUAGCACAAGUUUAAUUUAACAAAUAGUUUAUGUUGAAUCUAUGGAACUCCAUCAUGACAUGCUUCCCGAGAAGUUAUCGAAAUUUGAUUUUGCCUGGCAGGAUGUGAAUCAUGCUGUUCUUGCUGUUGGGUAUGGAAUUGAAGAUGGUGUACCAUAUUGGCUCAUUAAAAACUCAUGGGGAGGUGAAUGGGGUGACCAUGGCUACUUCAAGAUGGAAAUGGGGAAGAAUAUGUGUGGUAAGGAUCCCCAGAUCUUAACUCUAAAAGAAUUGUUAAAGUGAACUCACCCAAUUGUCCUUUUCUGUCUUGGAUCUUGGUGAUUAAGUAACUGUGGCAAAAGCCUUUAGAUUGUGUUAUGGAGGAGCAAUUAUACAAAUUUCAAAUCCUUCACGUUUGUGAAAAAUGGCCUUUCUAGAGCUGUUGUUUGUUCUGAAUUUAUAGAGCUGAAAACAAUCAUUUUGCAGUUACCUGUUUUUGUUAAUCAUUUUUGUUUAAUUUCAGGUGUUGCAACUUGUUCAUCCUAUCCUGUUGUUGCCUAAAUGGUACGGAAGGAUGUGAUACCCGAAAGGCUGCCCUUGUGAAUUCCACCUUGCAUGUUAUGCUUUCUAGUUCAUCUUAAACGUAAAAUGUCUGAUACGAUGAUAAGUCUUUGUUGAUAUUCUUCUGUAAAAUAAGUUUGGAGUUUAGAUGCCAUUUCUUCUAUUUGUCAUAUACCACACUACAAAAUAAGAUUGUAAAUCAUGUAUCAUUAUCACACACAGACGUUAUCUUUAUUUGGUGUAUUUCCCCUGAUUAUGUAGCAAUUAAAGGAUAACAUGCUGGGUGUGUGUUUAUCAUUACUUAAUAGUUCAUGCCCUUCUUUGAGCUCAUUUAUCAAAUUUCGUUUAUGAAAAUAAAAAUAAAAAUUACUACGAUGACACUCCCCCUAAUGCAGAUGAGGGAUGUGCUUUUCAAAGAACUUGGGUGCAAUGUGUUUGUUUUUAGUACUUUGUAUCCUUUCAUUCAAAAUUCAAAGGGUUAAAUAUGUUUUUGAUCCCUAUAAAAUCUUUAAAUUUCAAAUUUUAGUCCUUAUAAAUUUUUUCAUCAAUUUUUUGUCCCUUAAAAAAUUUCUACCAUCACUUAUGGUACCUAUUUUUAAAUCAAAUUUGGAAGGAUAUACAUGAUUUUACCACUUUUGUUUGCUACUAUUUUUAUCCCUAUAGUAGAAAUAUUAUAUAAGAAUAAACAUACAAUAAGACAUUUUUUUAUCAGGACCAAUUUUGUUUUUUUUUUUUACACAAGCAAACUUAAGACAUUUUAUUAAUCAAAUAGUAGCAACACAACUUGAAAUUGCGAAAAUAAGUAUUAUGAUAAGCAUGAGAGAAAAUUGUCAAUGCAAGAACAUGAGCACUUAUGUUUGCUUGACUUAUAGUAAACACAACAUCAUAGUUGUUAUAAUUUUAAAUAAGGUCUUACAAUUUCGCACCGUUAAACAAUUUUUCAUGCGAUUCAAUUUGUUGGAAUGUACAUCAUCAACAACCAUCUUGCAAUCAUUUUCAAAAACAACACGAUGAUAUCCUAAAGAGGCGGUCCAUUUGAGGCCUUGAAGUAGGCCCCAAACUUUACUCUCGACUGAUGUCAUAGAUGCCUUGUAAACAUCAGACAUUACUCUUACAAAUUGUCCGACUUCAUCCCGCAACAUUGCUCCCAUUAUAUUGCGGUUCAAUUUUGUUUUGUUUGGUUUUAGAACUGAAUUAAACCAAACCAUAUGUGUAAAAAUGUUUUACAAAUUCCCAUGCUAAGUUUUCGGUCAACUGUAAAUAUUGCGGCAUCAAUGUUGCACUUGAGAUAACCGAUGGGAUGUGGUUGUCAUGUAACAUCAUACAGUUGUUGUUCCGGACUUGUACAAUAUUUUUAAAUCGGUUGUCAGAUAAUAUUUUAACGGUUUAAAAUAACGUCUCUAAAAACACGUUUGAAAAUAACGUUUAUUGAUUAUUUGUUGAAAUAAUAAAGUUAUCUCAAAUGUUUCUUCAAAAAAAAUGUUAUCUCAAAUGUGUAUGACAUUAGGAAAUUAUAUUUUAUUAAAUAUAUGUUUGAUGUUAUAAAGAGCAUAAAUAAAUUUGUAUAUUUAGGAGUGAAACUUUUUUGUAAAUGAUAUUAUAAUUAAAAACGGAAGGAGUAUGUUAAGAAAUGUAUUUUUCAUAGAGAAAUGAUAUUUGUACAACUACUUUUUAACAAUUAUUGAAAUAACUCUCUCUUUUACUCACAUGUAUUUUUAUUCUCCCUCUUUUUCUAUCUUUCUAUUAUUUUUAUUCAAUAAAAAGAGAAAAAAAAAUAACCGUCACAAAAAUUGUCUAAAAUUUAUGUAGAAAUAUCGUUCCACUUUUUCCUAAUGUUAAACACGUGACAAAAUUUCACUCAAGGUUGUUUUCAAAAUACGGUUAUGCAUUAUCAUAAAAAAAGAAGAAAAAAAAAAUAGGUACCACCCAUGCAUCUGUCUAUUUCCUUCAAACAAAUAAGGCAUCUACCUCUUUUUUUUUCUUUCUUUUUUCUGGUCCUGCUCAUUUAUCAGUAUCUAAUAUCUAUCUAACUAUCUUUAUACACCUAAAUCUUAAAUCAAACGUGUCCAAAUGUGUUUGGGUAGAGAUUGAGUCCAAAAAGGACUGUCGUGGAUCCAAAUUGAUGGGACCUCCUACGGCCAUGGAAAUGAGAAAAACUUCCUCCAUCUCUAAAAUAGUUUUGGAUAUAUACAUAUCUUCCUAAAAAAAGGAUAUAUAUACACACACACAUUUAGAGAAAAGAAGAAAAUAGAAAGAAGAAAGAAAAAAAAUACUGUAUCACUACGUAUUUAUAGGUAAGAUUAAUCAUGUGCCAUUUGUUAAAAUUCUAAGGGGUGAAAAUCAUCUAUCGCAUGGAAAUAUUCAUAUAAUAUUAGAGAAUCAAGAAUUGAAAUCUAAUUUGUCCCCCUUUCUCGAACCUUUGCCAUCACAAUUUUUCUUCUUGAUUUGUCAAAGAUGAAUGAUUUAGAGUUAAAUUUUGACUCAAAAUCACUCAUCUGAAUUGUUUAUUUUUCCUCUUUUAGUUAAAUAAGUGAUUUUUAUAUAUUUUUCAGUUUUAUUUCGUUUAUUUUUGUGAUCUCGUCGUCUCGCACAACUUUGUUUAUUUUGAUUUUCCGUCUUUUUGAGUUGUUUUUUUAUUUUCCGUCUUAGCAGAUUGUUUAUUUGAUUCAGGUUGAAAGAUUAACAUUCAUCAAUUGCAGAUUCAAUUAAUGAUUUUCGCGUUGUGAACGUUGCAUAUGCAAGGACAUGAAUAUUCCAAUGGCUUGAAUAUUGUCAUAUAGGUAUAUACUCAGCCAUUUUAUACUAUUAACGUGGAUGUUGUGAAUUUGUUCGUAAAUUCUUCAUUUUUGUUUUUAACGAGUUUGAAUUUAUUGUAUCGAUUUAUUUUAUCAAUUUAAAUAAAUGAAUAUAAUUUAUUUUUGUAAAAAAAAUCAAUAGCAAAGUUCUCCAUUAUUGAUAGUGCAUACAUCAUUUAUUUUUAAUUUUUUAAUUAUAAUAUUCGAUAAACACUCAAAUCCUUCACUUUUGCAUCCUUAAUAAACUUAUUAAAUAAGUCUAAUAAUUCCAUAACAUUACAUUUUAACUACAUUCAUCUAUUUAGAGUUUGGGUAUGCUCAUUUAGGUAAUGCUCCAUUUAAUCCAUUUAGGAGUUUGAAUGCAAGAUAUGUGGCAAAAAAACAUUCGAAGGCUGAGAUUUUAAAUUAAAAUAAAUAUUUAUUUAAUUAAAAAAAAGUCUAGUACAUUUUUUUUCCUUAAACACGUCGUUUUCUUUUCACGACGUUUCACCACCGCCAUCUUUCCUUCUGCCGCUACCCUUUUCACCACCGUCCUCUUUCCCUCUCCGUCGUCGCCGCCCUCUUCAUCUCUCUGACGCAGCUGCCUUCCACCACCGCCGUCAAUUUUGCCAUUCUUACAUCUGUCGUAAUAUUUCAGCAAAUUCAAUCUCAAAUCAAUCAAACAGUUUGUAACACCAAUUGAAUCCUCAACCUUUAUUUGAUUUUCACCUCGAUUAAAGUAGUGUUUGGAUUUUGUAUUUGCCCAAUGGUUCUUCAAUUACCUUCUUUGUUUAUUGCUCGACAUUUUAUGUUCUGGUGGCCGGAGGAGUGAGUGUCACAGCAAUGACGAGAGUAAGAUGAAAACACGAAGAAGAAAAGGUUUGCGACGACGAUGAUACAUGUGGUUUCAACGGAGGCGUUGGAGAGCGGCGGCAGAGAAAGGGAAGAGGGGCGGUGGUGUAGUGGAAAAAGCAGGGAUCUGACACUGUUUGUGCGGAAGAGAAACAUAACGGUUUUUAUUUUGUUUAAUUAAAUAAAUAAUUAUUUUUAAUUUAAAAUCUCAGCCUUUGGAUGUUUUUUUGCCACAUGUCUUGCAUCCAAACCCCUAAAUAGACUAAAUUGAGCAUACCUGAACCCCUAUUUUAACAAUGUGAGAUCCACUACGAGUGUAUUCAAUGAAUCUACUUUUCUCCACAAAGGCCCAUUUGUUUUUAAGAAAAAUUCUACAAUGAAGUCACGAUAAUGACUUUUCUGGUGAAGUUAAAUGACCAAUUAUUUAAUCUAUAUCACGUCAGAUUAUAUGGUGUAUUGCACAUUUGCCCAUAAAGUGUGUCAUUAUAUCAAUUGUAUCUUUGAUUAAAUCAAAGUUAAACAAAAUAACUUUUCCAAAAAAAUCAAUUUUCUGACUGCACUGUAGAAUCCCACUAGUUUUUAAUCAGCACUUACUUAUGUACAACUAAGGCUUAAUGAAUUAAGCUAUUUUGUUUAUCAAAUAAUAUAGUGAUUAAUAAGGACUAAACUAUCGUUCAUACAUAUAACAAUGCAUUAUUUCUGUCAGCCGAGCACCUAACAAGGACUAAUCAAUUAAGCUCUUACCUCUUACCAAACGGGUGUUUGUGGAAAGUUUAAGCUUGUGAAUCGCGAGUUCAUGACCCUUUAUUAGCGUUGACACGAGGCACUAUCCCUGUGUUUAUAAUAAAAAAAUGUAGGAAAGGACCUGCCGGCCCACUCCUCCAUUCCACAGCUAGCAACGUGCUACCCUCCCUCUCCUCGUGGCUGAUGUCUUUUUACUUUGAAACUAAUAAUAGCAUAUUUUAUAAUAAAACGAGUUCUACGAUGCUGUCCUAAUAAGAAAACAAAUUUAAAUCAGUCAUUUUUUAUAAAAUAAAGCUAACUUCUAUUUUUGUGCCUCGUAAAUUCACUUUUUCAUUUAAAUUUUUUUUAUAGUCAAAUACAUAGAAAUGCAUAAAGUAUAAUUGUUGACUAAAAUUUGAUAAUUUUACUCAGUCUACUCCUUUUGUCUCAAAGACUAAAAUUCGAUAACUUCAUGCAUAAAGUAUAAUUUCUUUGGAACCAUGUGAACAAUUUUAGGGCAAACUUCAGAAAGUUGUAAUAUUAUGGGAGUACAUAUUAGUUUGAGUACAGGCACUUACCUUUGUCUCCCUUGCUAGCGUGUCUCUUUAAUUUAGUUAUGUGAUUGUGAUGAACUGAUGAUAGAGUAAGAUCAAAAGUUUACUACUCACCGUAAUUACUGAAUGAAGAAUGAGUAAUAUUAUUGUUGGACACUACACUGUUGCAUGUCACCAGAAAUUGACACUUAAACAAGAAGUUGAAGGUUUUUGCUCAAAGUGAAGAAUCUUCUUCGGUGUAUAUGACGAAAUUAUGUGUCUAAUAGAUUUAGACUUUGAGACAAAAGAGUAGAAUCUGCUUCCGUGAUCUAGGAGAGGAUGGAAAGCUACACCUUUAAUUUAACCAGAGUCUUUCUUAUUGAUAGAGCAACGUACAUCGAUCCUUUUGUAAUGAUGUAAAUUUAUUACUUUCUCAAGGAUUUGGAUUUUCUUAUUUACAACUCGAGCAUAGUACUAUAGUGAUAGAGUCACAACAUUCAAACAUGUGAUAUAACAUCAUUGAACAACCAUGCAAUAUUGGUCGCGAUCCCAAAACAUUUAUCUUGUCAUGCUGCUGCUGUCUGCUCCUAGGGACAAGUGGACUUCAAAUAUAAAGCUUGUUAGCCGUAGUGCAAUAUUGAUGCUUCUUUCACCUUGAGGCAAAAUCAUGUUGGCAUUGAAGUGUGUGUCUGCAUGGGGAUGAAGGGUGUUCUGUUCUUGCCAAAAUGGAAGGGUGGAAGCCUCUAACUUUGGCGGUUGAAAGAAAAGUGCCUUGUCUUUGAUUUGUUGAAUAAUGUUGACUUUGAGCUUGAUUGCAAAAUAUUGGUGGAUGCUUUUCACAACCCAAAGAUGAUGUCUCAGAGUUUUGUUUCAUAAAUGUGGAUUGUUUUGUUGGCAGAUUUUAUUCUGUAUUGAAAAUUUCUAAAGUUGUUUUUAUUAGAGACAAAUCUACUAUUUGGUCGUCUGUCUUAACUCAAACAACCACAUUCUUAUAGUUGGUUUCCAUUUUAUAUUCUCA
This 7108-nucleotide long non-coding RNA is filed under the name Medicago truncatula (barrel medic). RNAcentral's name for it is "long non-coding RNA (MTRU_LNC002566)". Lineage: Eukaryota; Viridiplantae; Streptophyta; Magnoliopsida; Fabales; Fabaceae. The record is from RNAcentral.